CGGACGGGUGAGUAACACGUGGAUAACCUACCUAUAAGACUGGGAUAACUUCGGGAAACCGGAGCUAAUACCGGAUAAUAUAUUGAACCGCAUGGUUCAAUAGUGAAAGACGGUUUUGCUGCCACUUAUAGAUGGAUCCGCGUCGCAUUAGCUAGUUGGUAAGGUAACGGCUUACCAAGGCAACGAUGCGUAGCCGACCUGAGAGGGUGAUCGGCCACACUGGAACUGAGACACGGUCCAG
This 241-nucleotide ribosomal RNA is filed under the name uncultured Staphylococcus sp. Its description in RNAcentral is "partial 16S ribosomal RNA". It matches the Rfam family "Bacterial small subunit ribosomal RNA", at positions 99 to 334 of the family's 1533-position model. The record is from RNAcentral. Lineage: Bacteria; Bacillati; Bacillota; Bacilli; Caryophanales; Staphylococcaceae.